AGAGUUUGAUCAUGGCUCAGGAUGAACGCUGGCGGCGUGCUUAACACAUGCAAGUCGAGCGAAGCGCGGGGAACGGACCUCUUCGGAGGGAAGGGAGCCGUGACUGAGCGGCGGACGGGUGAGUAACGCGUGGGCAACCUGCCUCAUACAGGGGAAUAACAGUUAGAAAUGACUGCUAAUGCCGCAUAAGCGCACACUAUCGCAUGAUAGGGUGUGAAAAGCUCCGGCGGUAUGAGAUGGACCCGCGUCUGAUUAGCUGGUUGGCAGGGUAACGGCCUACCAAGGCGACGAUCAGUAGCCGGCCUGAGAGGGUGACCGGCCACAUUGGGACUGAGACACGGCCCAAACUCCUACGGGAGGCAGCAGUGGGGAAUAUUGCACAAUGGGGGAAACCCUGAUGCAGCGACGCCGCGUGGGUGAAGAAGUAUUUCGGUAUGUAAAGCCCUAUCAGCAGGGAAGAAGACGACAGUACCUGAAUAAGAAGCCCCGGCUAACUACGUGCCAGCAGCCGCGGUAAUACGUAGGGGGCAAGCGUUAUCCGGAUUUACUGGGUGUAAAGGGAGCGCAGGUGGCAAAGCAAGCCAGAAGUGAAAACCCGGGGCUCAACCCCGCGGAUUGCUUUUGGAACUGUUAAGCUGGAGUGCAGGAGGGGCAGGCGGAAUUCCUGGUGUAGCGGUGAAAUGCGUAGAUAUCAGGAGGAACACCGGUGGUGAAGGCGGCCUGCUGGACUGUAACUGACACUGAGGCUCGAAAGCGUGGGGAGCAAACAGGAUUAGAUACCCUGGUAGUCCACGCGGUAA
Molecule: ribosomal RNA, 800 nt
Filed under: uncultured bacterium
Lineage: Bacteria
Description: bacterial SSU rRNA
Rfam family: Bacterial small subunit ribosomal RNA
Source: RNAcentral